Molecule: ribosomal RNA, 490 nt
Filed under: uncultured bacterium
Lineage: Bacteria
Description: partial 16S ribosomal RNA
Rfam family: Bacterial small subunit ribosomal RNA
Source: RNAcentral
AUUGAACGCUGGCGGCAGGCCUAACACAUGCAAGUCGAACGGUAACAGGAAGCAGCUUGCUGCUUCGCUGACGAGUGGCGGACGGGUGAGUAAUGUCUGGGAAGCUGCCUGAUGGAGGGGGAUAACUACUGGAAACGGUAGCUAAUACCGCAUAAUGUCGCAAGACCAAAGAAGGGGACCUUCGGGCCUCUUGCCAUCGGAUGUGCCCAGAUGGGAUUAGCUUGUUGGUGGGGUAACGGCUCACCAAGGCGACGAUCCCUAGCUGGUCUGAGAGGAUGACCAGCCACACUGGAACUGAGACACGGUCCAGACUCCUACGGGAGGCAUCAGUGGGGAAUAUUGCACAAUGGGCGCAAGCCUGAUGCAGCCAUGCCGCGUGUAUGAAGAAGGCCUUCGGGUUGUAAAGUACUUUCAGCGGGGAGGAAGGGAGUAAAGUUAAUACCUUUGCUCAUUGACGUUACCCGCAGAAGAAGCACCGGCUAACUCCGUG